RNAcentral lists this ribosomal RNA (1001 nucleotides) under uncultured Mycoplasma sp. Its description in RNAcentral is "bacterial SSU rRNA". It matches the Rfam family "Bacterial small subunit ribosomal RNA", at positions 328 to 1347 of the family's 1533-position model. Lineage: Bacteria; Bacillati; Mycoplasmatota; Mollicutes; Mycoplasmatales; Mycoplasmataceae. The record is from RNAcentral.
GGCCCAUAUUCCUACGGGAAGCAGCAGUGAGGAAUUUUUCACAAUGGACGAAAGUCUGAUGGAGCAAUACCACGUGAACGAUGAAGAUCUUCUGAUUGUAAAGUUCUUUUAUUUAGGAAAAAAAGCUUGAUAGGAAAUGAUUAAGCCUUGAUCGUACUAAAUGAAUAAGUGACAGCUAACUAUGUGCCAGCAGCUGCGGUAAAACAUAGGUCACGAGCAUUAUCCGGAUUUAUUGGGCGUAAAGGAAGCGUAGGCGGACAAGUUGAUCUAUUGUGAAAAGCACUUGCUCAACAAGUUGUUUGUGAUAGAUAUCGCUUGUCUAGAAUUAGUUAGGAGAUACUGGAAUUCAAUGUGUAGCGGUGGAAUGCGUAGAUAUAUUGAGGAACACCAGAGGCUAAGGCGAGUAUCUAGAACAUAAUUGACGCUGAGGCUUGAAAGCGUGGGGAGCAAAUGGGAUUAGAUACCCCAGUAGUCCACGCCGUAAACGAUGGGUAUUAGGUAUUUGAUAUAAGAUUGAGUGCUGUAGCUAACGCGUUAAAUACCCCGCCUGGGUAGUAUAUAUGCAAAUAUGAAACUCAAAGAAAUUGACGGGGACCUGAACAAGUGGUGGAGCAUGUUGCUUAAUUCGAUAAUACACGAAAAACCUUACCGAGGCUUGUAAUCUUUUGCAAAGCUAUAGAAAUAUAGUGGAGGCUAUCAGAAUGACAGGUGGUGCAUGGCUGUCGUCAGCUCGUGUCUUGAGAUGUUUGGUUAAGUCCCGUAACGAGCGCAACCCUACUCUUUAGUUAACCAGUUCUAAAGUGACUGAAUCGUAAGAUAUAGGAAGGUUGGGGCCAAGUCAAGUCAUCAUGCCCCUUAUGCCUCGGGCUGCAAACGUGCUACAAUGGUAGGUACAAUGUGUUGCAAUCUAGCAAUAGUGAGCAAAUCACCCAAAACCUAUCUCAGUCCGGAUAAAAGGCUGCAAUUCGCCUAUUUGAAGUUGGAAUCACUAGUAAUCCUGU